This is a long non-coding RNA of Setaria italica (foxtail millet), 520 nucleotides long. RefSeq lists it as uncharacterized. The record is from RefSeq and is a predicted model, not a curated record. The transcript has 2 exons. Lineage: Eukaryota; Viridiplantae; Streptophyta; Magnoliopsida; Poales; Poaceae.
ACAGGAAGUAGCUCAGGCUCACUAGCUUCAGGAAGUAACACAGGCUCAUUAUUGAGGAUGUAACUCGAGAUCACUAGCUUCAGGAAGUAGCUCGGGCUCAUUAGCUUCAGGAGGGAUAGAUGAUAACUGAAUCUGAAGACAAGGGAGUCACAUACAUGGAUGCAACACUUGUGUUCUCUUAUUUGUUAUAGGAUGCAAGGACUUCAUGUUUAAUCAAUCAAAAGAAGGCUUUUUUAAUGUGUGGUGGGAAAUAUGCUAUGUAUAUAAUUACUGUGCUACAAGAUAUGCCUGCAGGAUGUCAAGAACUCGUAAAUCUGAUGGAUGUAACUAGGUUGUUCCAGUCCCAAUCUGAGAGGCAACCUGAAGAUUGUGGAGAGGUUCAAAUCAUGGAUGUGUGACUGAAACGGUAGGAUGGAUCGACGGAUGGAUUUUGUUUCAGUAGUUGUGUUUCUGUUUGGGACGAGAAGGAUGCGCACCUGGACAUUCAACUCUUGGGUGAUCUCCUUUUGAUGUUGCUUUU